GUCUUGACNUCCUUUGANNNUCGAGAGAUCGAGCUUUCCCUUCGGGGACAAAGUGACAGGUGGUGCAUGGUUGUCGUCAGCUCGUGUCGUGAGAUGUUGGGUUAAGUCCCGCAACGAGCGCAACCCUUAUUACUAGUUGCCAGCAUUCAGUUGGGCACUCUAGUGAGACUGCCGGUGACAAACCGGAGGAAGGUGGGGAUGACGUCAAAUCAUCAUGCCCCUUAUGACCUGGGCUACACACGUGCUACAAUGGAUGGUACAACGAGUCGCGAAGUCGUGAGGCCAAGCUAAUCUCUUAAAGCCAUUCUCAGUUCGGAUUGUAGGCUGCAACUCGCCUACAUGAAGCCGGAAUCGCUAGUAAUCGCGGAUCAGAACGCCGCGGUGAAUACGUUCCCGGGA
This 399-nucleotide ribosomal RNA is filed under the name Carnobacterium sp. AZTITEMP48. RNAcentral's name for it is "bacterial SSU rRNA". It matches the Rfam family "Bacterial small subunit ribosomal RNA", at positions 978 to 1378 of the family's 1533-position model. Lineage: Bacteria; Bacillati; Bacillota; Bacilli; Lactobacillales; Carnobacteriaceae. The record is from RNAcentral.